Molecule: ribosomal RNA, 478 nt
Filed under: uncultured bacterium
Lineage: Bacteria
Description: bacterial SSU rRNA
Rfam family: Bacterial small subunit ribosomal RNA
Source: RNAcentral
GGACGAACGGCUGGCGGCGUAGCCUAACACGAUGCAAGUCGAGCGAGGAGAUCCUUCGGGAUGAUCCUAGCGGCGGACGGGUGAGUAACACGUGGGCAACCUGCCUCAUAGAGAGGAAUAGCCUUCCGAAAGGGAGAUUAAUACCUCAUAACAUUGCAGUUUCGCAUGGAACAGCAAUUAAAGGAGUAAUCCGCUAUGAGAUGGGCCCGCGGCGCAUUAGCUAGUUGGUGAGGUAACGGCUCACCAAGGCGACGAUGCGUAGCCGACCUGAGAGGGUGAUCGGCCACAUUGGGACUGAGACACGGCCCAGACUCCUACGGGAGGCAGCAGUGGGGAAUAGUUGCACAAUGGGGGAAACCCUGAUGCAAGCAACGCCGCGUGAGUGAUGACGGCCUUCGGGUUGUAAAGCUCUGUCUUCAGGGACGAUAAUGACGGUACCUGAGGAGGAAGCCACGGCUAACUACGUGCCAGCAGCGGC